GUCGUCACCACCCGCCUGCGGUUGGCCGAGUUGCCUUGAGAGGGGCAAGUAGACCCCGCCUUGGAGGUGGGUGGGAAGUGGCAGGCCCCGCCUUGGCUCCGCUGGAAGGCUCCCGCCAGCGUCGCUGCGACUCUGGCGGGGGAUCCAGCGCUUGGAGCCUGGAAGGAUGCGGCGCCCGCGGCGGCCUGGGGGUCCCGGGGGAUCCGGGGGCCUCCGGCUGCUCGUCUGCCUCCUGCUGCUGAGCAGCCACCCGGGAGGCUGCAGCGCCAUUAGUGCCCACGGUCAGGAGGAAACUUGGGGGGUGGGGGCAAUAUGGGGCUGGGAGCAAAACUCGGUGCGGGGGUGGGGUGAGGGAAAGUGUCGUGAAGGUAAGAAGCCCAGGUAGAAUAUGUGUAUGGGAUGGGGUGGAGGAGGCACAGCGCGACGAGGACACGAGAGGGACGAAAGGGGCGUAGGCCUGGAGGUGGGGCUGGGAAUGUGCGGGCGGGACCUAAGAGAAGUGGGCUCAGGAGAAAAUUGCUGGUUCAGGAGGAGAAAUGGACGUGCAUGGGGGUAGAGGGGCUUAAAGACGGGCUACAGGACCUCGGGAGCAAGUCUUGCCGAGGCACCAGGGAGGUGGUGACCCGUGGUGAAAAAUGGGGGGGGGGGGGCAGGGAGGUAGGAAGAGGGAGAGGUAACGGUGAUCUCUGGGCGAUAAGAGCUGGGGCCCGUAGGCAACCCCUAGAGGAUUGGGCUGGGGAAAAGGUCAGGAUUUCUCUUUAAGUCUAGAGAGACCGGUUGCUGAGAUCUAAUCUCCUAUAAGAGGGGCCAGCUGGGAGAGGGAGCAGAAGAGGAUGAAGAGGGGAGGGUCGUUCUCUGUACCCCUCCCCACAGCCAGGCCUGGUGCUGACUCACAUCUGUGCGGACAGAGGCUGUCAGCGCUGACUCACGGGCCGGGGGUGGGGGUGGGAAGGUGGCGCAUGGGGGAAGGGGCGCAGCCUCGCCAUCUGGCCCCCUCUUUCCCCACCCGGGCUUGGAGACCAACGCAGGGGUUCUUCCUGUGACGCUGUGGGUUAACAAGAUGGAGCGGAGGGGUCAGGUCCUCUGGAGACUCCUCUCCCGUCAACCCCUCCGUCUCCCGCAAUUCCCUCCUGACAAGCCCUUCCGCAGCUCCAGGCUUCAGCACCACGGACAGCGCAGCGGCACGGGUCUGGAACCGCUAGCCAGGAACACUCUGACCCUCUCCCUCCACGUGGGGGAGGUGCAUUAGACUUUCCGCCUUGUCUGAGUUCCAGGCUAUUAAACUUAGGAGGCUUUCGAAGAUUUGGGGAAGUAAAUUUUCCUUCUGGAUUUGGCCAAAAACUCUCCCAUAGUAAUUUUAUGAAAACAACAUGAUCCUCUAACACGACUGUCCCCGCCCCCGCCCUUGCCUUGGGCAAAUUGCUUUUCCGUCUGUGCUCAAGCAGCGUAAAGCAGAAAGGCUGCUGCUUCUCAACUCUCAGUAAAGCGACUGGAGGCUCUUAAGGAUUCGGACUUUAAAAUCCAGAGCCGGAUCUCAUGCUUUCUUCUGUUCAGGAUUCUAGGCCUCUUCCCUACUCUCCUCCCAGAUUAAAGGCUUUCUUAGAAUGAAAGAAUGGGCCCCGUCUGGUUUUCCUGUUUCCCUGCCUUUCCAUCCAUCCUAUCAUUCUGUGUGGGGGUGUCUGAGCUUCUGCUUACCUGUCCCUCUACAGGCUGUCUAUUUGAUCGUAGACUCUGCUCUCACCUCGAAGUAUGCAUUCAGGGUGAGUAAGACCCAGGCAUAGGACUCACAAGACAGAGAGGUACAACAAAAAACAAGUGGGAGUCCCAGAAGGGAGGAGAGGGACAGUCUUGGGAUAAGGAGCCCUGACCUUAAGGAACAAGGAGAAGGUGGAGAAAGUGCUAUUCAUUGGCAACCUGGACUUUGAUAGGUCUCUUGUUCAAGAUUUCUGAUGCCACUUUUGUCCUCUUAGAUGGCUUGUUUGGACAGUGCCAGGUGGGAGUGGGGCAGGCACGGCCCCUUUUGCAAGUCACCUCCCCAGUUCUCCAACGCUUACAAGGUGUGCUCCGACAGCUCAUGUCUCAAGGUAAGAUCUGGAUGCACUGGAGGAGAGAGAUUCAAGCUUGGUUAGAUAUGAGUGGGGAAGUAAGGGACCACCUGACCCAAAGACUUCUCUUUCUGAAAUAUUCUUGUCAUGCCAACUUCUGGAAACUCACCUUCCUAGAUCUUGCUGGAGAAGGGGACAAGAAAAGGAUGUGAUAAAAUCCUAAAGACUGGCUGUUCACAUCUGAACUCUGGACUCUAAAAGCACUGGAAGAAGCCAGCAUCUGUCUCUUUAGGUCCAGUUUUACUCCCUGGGACUGUCUGAGUGUUCUCCACAGAUUCUAAGGUCCUUAGGCAAGAGAACACCCCACUCAUUCAAUUCAUUCAUUCAGCACGUAUCUAUUGAGUAUUUACUAUGUGAGGGGGGGGGGCAGGAUGGGGGCAUAGUUCUAGAUGUUGGGGAUGUAACAGGGAAUAAAACAAAGAUCUCUGUCUAUUGGGGUUUAUGUUUGGGGGGAAGAAACACUAUAUUAGUUAGAAAAUAAAUAGUAUGCUAGAAGGUAAUAAAUGGAUAUUAGGGUAGGCUAGAAAGUGCCAUAGAACAUUACAGCAGAAUAAAGAGACCUGAAAUGGUGAAUUAGAAAGCUGCACUAUACAUUUUUGAAUAUAUGUAAAUUUUGAACAGACUGUAAGGAGAAGGGAGAGUUUGCCAGGAGGUUAUUCAAGGAAAGAGUGUUUCAGGCAGACCAAACAGCUAGGUCAAAAGCCCUAAGGCAGGAGCAAAUUUUAGGAAAACCAUGGAUGCCACUAUAACUGAUAGAAAAGUGACGGAAAGGAAAAAUAGAAGUCACAUUUGGGUAAGAAAUGGGGGAAGGAAUGUAGUCAUUGUAGGGACUCAAGGGAAUGUAUGGCAUUGGUUCCACUCUGAGUACAAGAGAAAACCAUUGCAGGGUUUUAGCACAGUUGUGCAUGAUCUAACUUCUAUUUUAAAAGGAUUAUUCUUGCUGCUGUGUUGAGAAUACACAGAAUGUAGAGAGAGUCAAGGUUUGAAGCAGGAAGUCCAGUGAAACCUGCCAUAAUAACUCGGGUAAGAGAUGAGUGUAGUUUGGACUAGGGCGAUGAUAAAAUACUAGAUAUGGCUGUAAAAAGAGAAGUCAGAAAUGACAUCCACAUUGUAUUGCCCAGACAACUGAAUCAGUGGAGAUGUCAUUAACUAUGAUGGGGGAAAUUGCACACACACACACACAAAAAAAAAAACUUUAGGUAAAGUUGGGGGAUGUUUAGUUUUUGAUAUGUUGAGUUUAACAUGUCUGUGCAGGUAGGAUGGAAUUCAAACCUGUGAGAUAGGAUUUUGAGAGAGAGGACCAGAAUAGAGUUAUAAAUUUGGGAUUCUUUGGCAUAGAGAUGGCAAAUAUAUCUAUAAGGUAGAUGGCUUAACCAAAGGAUUGAGUAUAUAUGAAGAAGAAGACUAAGGAUAAAGCCCUGGAGAAUUCUUUUUUUGUGUGUGAGAGUGGAGUGUCCAGGGAUUGAACUCAGGGGUGCUCUGUGACUGAACCACAUCCCCAGCCAUAUUUUGUAUUUUUAAAAUAUCUUUAUUUAUUUAUUUUUAUGUGGUCUGAGGAUUGAACCCAGUGCCUCACAUGUGUGAGGCAGGUGCUCUACCACUGAGCUACAGCCCCAGCCCCCCUAUUUUGUAUUUUAUUUAGAGAGAGAGUGUCACUGAGUUGCUUAGUGCCUCAUUUUUGCUGAGGCUGGCUUUGAACUCAAGAUCCUCCUGCCUCAGCCUCCCGAGCCACUGGAAUUACAGGCGGGCACUGCACCUGGCAAGCCCUGGAGAAUUCUAAUAACCUUUUCCCUGAAUUACAUUAUGAAGUGUCCCAUAAUACAAGGCCCGAAUUCUGAAGGGAGAGGGAAGAUGGAAGGAGGGAGUAGUCUCAAUGUUCCCAUUCAUAGUUUAAAUGUAUGACACAUUUUGAUUAAACUUAAAACAUUUGAUAUUCUAGUGCAAAUAUAAAUGGCAAAUUAGAAAGCUGCAGUGUACAUUUUUGAAUAUAUGUAAAUUUUGAACAGACUGUAAGGAGAAAGAAGAGUUUGCCAGGACUUUAAGGCCAAAAAUACAUUCUCCAAGUCAACUGCUCUGUGUGUAUGGCUCUGCAGGUCCAGUCCUCAGACUCAGACGGCUGUAUCAUCUGGAAUCUGUUAGGACCUAGGUGGAUGGCCAGUUUCCAGGCAGACUUUGUUAACUGUUAGAGUCCAACAUGUACAACAUGGGGGUACUGUGACCCAGACUCAACCACAGAAGGAAAGAGACUUUGAAGCUGAGCUUAUUUAGGUUAAGAAAGAAGGAGGAGGAAGAGGGUGAAAGGGGAGGAGGAGGAGGAGAAGGAGAAGAAGAGACUUAGAAUCGGAAGCUAGUGAGGUAGGAGGAGUGUUCAAUGUCCCAGAUGCCAAGUGAAAAUCUACCAAAGAGGGAGAGAUCAACAUUGUCAAAUGAUGAUGACAGGUUAAGAAAAAUGAGAUCUGGGAACUGGCCAUUGGAUUUAGAUAAGCAUAAUUCACUGCUGACAAUUCACUUUGGCGAAGUAGUAGUAAAAUCCUGAAUAGAGGGGCUGGGGCUGGGGCUUAGUGGUAGAGCGCUUGCCUUGCACACGUGAGGCACGGGGUUCGAGGCCCAGCACCACAUAUAAAUAAAUAAAUAAAUGAAAUAAAGGUAUUGUGUUCAUCUACAACUAAAAAAAAAUUUAAAUAUAAAAUAAAAUCCUGAAUAGAGUAGAUUGAGAGGGAAUGGGAGGAAAGAAAUUGGAUAGAGUGUUGUAGAUAAGUCUUUCAAGGAAUCUUGCUACAAAGAAAUGGGAUCAUAACUGAAGGGAAAUGUGAUGCUAAAUAGUAGUUUUUUUUUAGAUGGAAAAAUAUUGCAUCAUGUUUUUAUGCUGAUGGCAACAAUUCAGUAGAAAAUGGAGAAGAGGAUGAUGUAGGAAAUAGGGGAGAAUUUCGGGAGGGGUGUUCUUGAGUAGGUAAGAGGGAACAGAAUCUAGUGCUCAACUGGAAGAAUUAAGUUUAAAUAGGAGCACAGGUAGUUAAUCAAAUAUUAAAAGGCAAGAAGGCAGAUAGAGAUGUUGGUAGAUCCCAGAAUAUUUGUGAAGAGCACCACAGAUUAUAAACCCAGAACAUGGAAGAAAAAAUGGGGGUAGAGAGUGGGAGAUUAUUCUUUAAGAAUGGGUGGCUGGUCUUUCCUGAGAGCAGAGUUUCAUGGGGUUAAAGGGUCAAACAGAAGAUCUGCUUCAGGGUAAGAUGAUGAUUAUAACAAAUAUGAGAAUGAUAAUGAUGACAACCCUGAUGAGGAGAGGAUGUAGAGGUUUAAAGCAAGUGUCCACUGAUUUAGAGUUUUCUAAGCACUUUCAUUUCCAUGGUCACACUUGAUCCUCACAAUCACAUUGUGAGCUAUGUGAUAUUCCCAUAUGGAAACUGAGCUUCAGGAAAAUAAUAAUAAUAGCUAUAAUAAUAGCGUUGUUGCAAGUUCAUUAUGUGACAGGCACUAUUCUAUUUAAUAUAUGUUAUUUUAGUUAAUACAAAAAUCUUAGGAGAGGGCCAGGAUUGUGGCUCAGGGGUAACAUGCUUGCCUAGGAUGCGUGAGGCACUGGGUUCAGUUCUCAGCACCACAUACAAAUAAAUAAAAUAAAGGUCCAUCAACAACUAAAAAUUAUAUAUAUAUAUAUAUAUAUAUAUAUAUAUAUAUAUAUCUUAGGUGGUAUAAAUGCCCAUCUUAUGGAGGAGAGAAUUGAGAUAAUUGAGGCUCAGCAAUCUUCCCAAAAUCACUGAAUUUCUCAGUGGCAGAGGCAGAUUCAAACCCAAGCAGUCUGACUGCAAAAGCUGGACCUGAGGGUGAGAAAAAGCAGCUCAUAUCACCCUGUGGGUCUCCAGCCUCCUCCACUGUCUCUCUGCUCUGCCAAACUCAAUGCACUGCAGUGUAGGGGUUGUGCUUUUUGUGACUGGGCCCCCAGACUCCUCACCCACUCUCACCUAUCAUUGCCCAACAGGAUUAUCCUGGCAUGAUGACCUCACACAGUAUGUGAUCUCCCAGGAAAUGGAGCGCAUCCCCAGGCUUCG
Molecule: long non-coding RNA, 6148 nt
Filed under: Marmota monax (woodchuck)
Lineage: Eukaryota; Metazoa; Chordata; Mammalia; Rodentia; Sciuridae
Source: RNAcentral